Molecule: non-coding RNA, 29 nt
Filed under: Mus musculus (house mouse)
Lineage: Eukaryota; Metazoa; Chordata; Mammalia; Rodentia; Muridae
Source: RNAcentral
UACCAAUCUUAAAACGUUUCUGUGCUGAG